UACGGGAGGCAGCAGUGGGGAAUAUUGCACAAUGGGCGCAAGCCUGAUGCAGCCAUGCCGCGUGUAUGAAGAAGGCCUUCGGGUUGUAAAGUACUUUCAGUCGUGAGGAAGGUGUUAAGGUUAAUAACCUUAGCAAUUGACGUUAGCGACAGAAGAAGCACCGGCUAACUCCGUGCCAGCAGCCGCGGUAAUACGGAGGGUGCGAGCGUUAAUCGGAAUUACUGGGCGUAAAGGGCACGCAGGCGGUUAAUUAAGUUGGAUGUGAAAUCCCCGGGCUUAACCUGGGAAUGGCAUUCAAGACUGGUUAGCUAGAGUCUUGUAGAGGGGGUAGAAUUCCGAUGUGUAGCGGUGAAAUGCGUAGAGAUGUGGAGGAAUACCGGUGGCGAAGGCGGCCCCUGGACAAGACUGACGCUCAUGUGCGAAAGCGUGGGGAGCAACAGGAUUAGAUACC
Molecule: ribosomal RNA, 451 nt
Filed under: uncultured bacterium
Lineage: Bacteria
Description: bacterial SSU rRNA
Rfam family: Bacterial small subunit ribosomal RNA
Source: RNAcentral